RNAcentral lists this ribosomal RNA (497 nucleotides) under uncultured bacterium. RNAcentral describes it as "partial 16S ribosomal RNA". It matches the Rfam family "Bacterial small subunit ribosomal RNA", at positions 28 to 507 of the family's 1533-position model. The record is from RNAcentral.
GAUGAACGCUGGCGGCGUGCCUAAUACAUGCAAGUCGAGCGAACAGACGAGGAGCUUGCUCCUCUGACGUUAGCGGCGGACGGGUGAGUAACACGUGGAUAACCUACCUAUAAGACUGGGAUAACUUCGGGAAACCGGAGCUAAUACCGGAUAAUAUAUUGAACCGCAUUGUUCAAUAGUGGAAGACGGUUUUGCUGUCACUUAUAGAUGGAUCCGCGCCGCAUUAGCUAGUUGGUAAGGUAACGGCUUACCAAGGCGACGAUGCGUAGCCGACCUGAGAGGGUGAUCGGCCACACUGGAACUGAGACACGGUCCAGACUCCUACGGGAGGCAGCAGUAGGGAAUCUUCCGCAAUGGGCGAAAGCCUGACGGAGCAACGCCGCGUGAGUGAUGAAGGUCUUCGGAUCGUAAAACUCUGUUAUUAGGGAAGAACAAAUGUGUAAGUAACUAUGCACGUCUUGACGGUACCUAAUCAGAAAGCCACGGCUAACUACGUG